AGUUUGAUUCUGGCUCAGGACGAACGCUGGCGGCGCGCCUAACACAUGCAAGUCGAACGGAGCUUAGAGAGCUUGCUUUUUAAGCUUAGUGGCGAACGGGUGAGUAACGCGUGAGUAACCUGCCCUAGAGUGGGGGGACAACAGUUGGAAACGACUGCUAAUACCGCAUAAGCCCACGGUGCCGCAUGGCACUGAGGGAAAAGGAUUUAUUCGCUUUAGGAUGGACUCGCGUCCAAUUAGCUAGUUGGUGAGGUAACGGCCCACCAAGGCGACGAUUGGUAGCCGGACUGAGAGGUUGAACGGCCACAUUGGGACUGAGACACGGCCCAGACUCCUACGGGAGGCAGCAGUGGGGGAUAUUGCACAAUGGGGGAAACCCUGAUGCAGCGACGCCGCGUGGAGGAAGAAGGUUUUCGGAUUGUAAACUCCUGUCGUUAGGGACGAUAAUGACGGUACCUAACAAGAAAGCGCCGGCUAACUACGUGCCAGCAGCCGCGGUAAAACGUAGGUCGCAAGCGUUGUCCGGAAUUACUGGGUGUAAAGGGAGCGCAGGUGGGAGGACAAGUUGGAAGUGAAAUCCAUGGGCUCAACCCAUGAAUUGCUUUCAAAACUGUUUUUCUUGAGUAGUGCAGAGGUAGAUGGAAUUCCCGGUGUAGCGGUGGAAUGCGUAGAUAUCGGGAGGAACACCAGUGGCGAAGGCGGUCUACUGGGCACCAACUGACGCUGAGGCUCGAAAGCAUGGGUAGCAAACAGGAUUAGAUACCCUGGUAGUCCACACCGUAAACGAUGAUUAAUAGGUGUUGGAGGAUUGACCCCCUCCAGUGCCGCAGCUAACACAAUAAGUAAUCCACCUGGGGAGUACGACCGCAAGGUUGAAACUCAAAGGAAUUGACGGGGGCCCGCACAAGCAGUGGAGUAUGUGGUUUAAUUAGACGCAACGCGAAGAACCUUACCAAGUCUUGACAUCCCUUGACGAUGCUGGAAACAGUAUUUCUCUUCGGAGCAAGGAGACAGGUGGUGCAUGGUUGUCGUCAGCUCGUGUCGUGAGAUGUUGGGUUAAGUCCCGCAACGAGCGCAACCCUUAUGGUCAGUUACUACGCAAGAGGACUCUGGCCAGACUGCCGUUGACAAAACGGAGGAAGGGGGGGAGGACGUCAAAUCAUCAUGCCCCCUAUGACUUGGGGUACACACGUACUACAAUGGCGUUAAACAAAGAGAAGCAAGACCGCGAGGUGGAGCAAAACUCAGAAACAACGUCCCAGUUCGGACUGCAGGCUGCAACUCGCCUGCACGAAGUCGGAAUUGCUAGUAAUCGUGGAUCAGCAUGCCACGGUGAAUAAGUUCCCGGGCCUUGCAC
Molecule: ribosomal RNA, 1357 nt
Filed under: uncultured bacterium
Lineage: Bacteria
Description: 16S ribosomal RNA
Rfam family: Bacterial small subunit ribosomal RNA
Source: RNAcentral